GGGGUUGUAGCUCAGUGGUAGAGCACUUGCCCGACAUGCAAGUGCAAGGCCCUGGGUUUGAUCCUCAGCACCA
Molecule: transfer RNA, 73 nt
Filed under: Ictidomys tridecemlineatus (thirteen-lined ground squirrel)
Lineage: Eukaryota; Metazoa; Chordata; Mammalia; Rodentia; Sciuridae
Description: Spermophilus tridecemlineatus (thirteen-lined ground squirrel) tRNA
Rfam family: tRNA
About the family: Transfer RNA (tRNA) molecules are approximately 80 nucleotides in length.
Source: Rfam by way of RNAcentral